Molecule: ribosomal RNA, 253 nt
Filed under: uncultured bacterium
Lineage: Bacteria
Description: partial 16S ribosomal RNA
Rfam family: Bacterial small subunit ribosomal RNA
Source: RNAcentral
UACGUAGGGUGCAAGCGUUGUCCGGAAUUAUUGGGCGUAAAGAGCUCGUAGGCGGUUUGUCGCGUCUGCUGUGAAAACCCGAGGCUCAACCUCGGGCCUGCAGUGGGUACGGGCAGACUAGAGUGAUGUAGGGGAGACUGGAAUUCCUGGUGUAGCGGUGAAAUGCGCAGAUAUCAGGAGGAACACCGAUGGCGAAGGCAGGUCUCUGGGCAUUAACUGACGCUGAGGCACGAAAGCGUGGGGAGCAAACAGG